Molecule: ribosomal RNA, 279 nt
Filed under: uncultured bacterium
Lineage: Bacteria
Description: partial 16S ribosomal RNA
Rfam family: Bacterial small subunit ribosomal RNA
Source: RNAcentral
UGCCAGCCGCCGCGGUAAUACGUAGGGUGCGAGCGUUAAUCGGAAUUACUGGGCGUAAAGCGUGCGCAGGCGGCUUUUUAAGACAGGUGUGAAAUCCCCGGGCUUAACCUGGGAAUGGCGCUUGUGACUGGAAGGCUAGAGUGCGGCAGAGGGGGAUGGAAUUCCUGGUGUAGCAGUGAAAUGCGUAGAUAUCAGGAGGAACACCGAUGGCGAAGGCAGUCCCCUGGGUCGACACUGACGCUCAGGCACGAAAGCGUGGGGAGCAAACAGGAUUAGAUA